UUAGCGGAUGACCUGUGGCUGGGGGUGAAAGGCCAAUCAAACCGGGAGAUAGCUGGUUCUCCCCGAAAGCUAUUUAGGUAGCGCCUCGUGAAUUCAUCUCCGGGGGUAGAGCACUGUUUCGGCUAGGGGGCCAUCCCGGCUUACCAACCCGAUGCAAACUGCGAAUACCGGAGAAUGUUAUCACGGGAGACACACGGCGGGUGCUAACGUCCGUCGUGAAGAGGGAAACAACCCAGACCGCCAGCUAAGGUCCCAAAGUCAUGGUUAAGUGGGAAACGAUGUGGGAAGGCCCAGACAGCCAGGAUGUUGGCUUAGAAGCAGCCAUCAUUUAAAGAAAGCGUAAUAGCUCACUGGUCGAGUCGGCCUGCGCGGAAGAUGUAACGGGGCUAAACCAUGCACCGAAGCUGCGGCAGCGAACGUAUCACCCAAGACAACUUUACGGAGUUGACGAUUGACGGAGCGAAGCGACGUCAAAGCGUUCAUUAAAGUCGAGUUGGCUUAGGGAUACGUUCGUUGGGUAGGGGAGCGUUCUGUAAGCCUGUGAAGGUGUGUCGUGAGGC
Molecule: ribosomal RNA, 560 nt
Filed under: Salmonella enterica subsp. enterica serovar Typhimurium
Lineage: Bacteria; Pseudomonadati; Pseudomonadota; Gammaproteobacteria; Enterobacterales; Enterobacteriaceae
Description: partial 23S ribosomal RNA
Rfam family: Bacterial large subunit ribosomal RNA
Source: RNAcentral